This is a long non-coding RNA of Leptidea sinapis, 357 nucleotides long. RefSeq lists it as uncharacterized. Lineage: Eukaryota; Metazoa; Arthropoda; Insecta; Lepidoptera; Pieridae. The record is from RefSeq and is a predicted model, not a curated record. The transcript has 3 exons.
GAAGAAGCCUGCAAUGAAUGCCUUCCAGCAUGUACAGAGAUAUCGUAUUAUGAACGUCUUAGUACCGCGCCACUCAACAGAAACCUUAUAAAUAACUACGUCCAAAGUCUUCACCUAUCACAAAACAAAUCAAAUGAUUAUUUUUUAUCAAACAUGUUAUUAAUUCACUUUUACUUCGAAGAUACAACAUUUUUGAGAUUUACCAAAGGCGAGAUAUUCGGAUUAACCGAGUUUCUUUCUAACACUGGAGGUCUGUUGGGCCUGUGUAUGGGAUUUAGUGUGAUGAGUGCAGUAGAAUUGCUCUAUUAUCUGACACUGCGAGCUUUUUGCGUUGCAAGACAUAGGAGCACCCGAAUC